RNAcentral lists this ribosomal RNA (1460 nucleotides) under uncultured bacterium. RNAcentral describes it as "bacterial SSU rRNA". It matches the Rfam family "Bacterial small subunit ribosomal RNA". The record is from RNAcentral.
AUUGAACGCUGGCGGCAGGCUUAACACAUGCAAGUCGAGCGGAGAGAGGUAGCUUGCUACUGAUCUUAGCGGCGGACGGGUGAGUAAUGCUUAGGAAUCUGCCUAUUAGUGGGGGACAACAUUUCGAAAGGAAUGCUAAUACCGCAUACGUCCUACGGGAGAAAGCAGGGGAUCUUCGGACCUUGCGCUAAUAGAUGAGCCUAAGUCGGAUUAGCUAGUUGGUGGGGUAAAGGCCUACCAAGGCGACGAUCUGUAGCGGGUCUGAGAGGAUGAUCCGCCACACUGGGACUGAGACACGGCCCAGACUCCUACGGGAGGCAGCAGUGGGGAAUAUUGGACAAUGGGCGCAAGCCUGAUCCAGCCAUGCCGCGUGUGUGAAGAAGGCCUUAUGGUUGUAAAGCACUUUAAGCGAGGAGGAGGCUACUUUAGUUAAUACCUAGAGAUAGUGGACGUUACUCGCAGAAUAAGCACCGGCUAACUCUGUGCCAGCAGCCGCGGUAAUACAGAGGGUGCAAGCGUUAAUCGGAUUUACUGGGCGUAAAGCGCGCGUAGGCGGCUAAUUAAGUCAAAUGUGAAAUCCCCGAGCUUAACUUGGGAAUUGCAUUCGAUACUGGUUAGCUAGAGUGUGGGAGAGGAUGGUAGAAUUCCAGGUGUAGCGGUGAAAUGCGUAGAGAUCUGGAGGAGUACCGAUGGCGAAGGCAGCCAUCUGGCCUAACACUGACGCUGAGGUGCGAAAGCAUGGGGAGCAAACAGGAUUAGAUACCCUGGUAGUCCAUGCCGUAAACGAUGUCUACUAGCCGUUGGGGCCUUUGAGGCUUUAGUGGCGCAGCUAACGCGAUAAGUAGACCGCCUGGGGAGUACGGUCGCAAGACUAAAACUCAAAUGAAUUGACGGGGGCCCGCACAAGCGGUGGAGCAUGUGGUUUAAUUCGAUGCAACGCGAAGAACCUUACCUGGCCUUGACAUAGUAAGAACUUUCCAGAGAUGGAUUGGUGCCUUCGGGAACUUACAUACAGGUGCUGCAUGGCUGUCGUCAGCUCGUGUCGUGAGAUGUUGGGUUAAGUCCCGCAACGAGCGCAACCCUUUUCCUUAUUUGCCAGCGGGUAAUGUCGGGAACUUUAAGGAUACUGCCAGUGACAAACUGGAGGAAGGCGGGGACGACGUCAAGUCAUCAUGGCCCUUACGGCCAGGGCUACACACGUGCUACAAUGGUCGGUACAAAGGGUUGCUACCUAGCGAUAGGAUGCUAAUCUCAAAAAGCCGAUCGUAGUCCGGAUUGGAGUCUGCAACUCGACUCCAUGAAGUCGGAAUCGCUAGUAAUCGCGGAUCAGAAUGCCGCGGUGAAUACGUUCCCGGGCCUUGUACACACCGCCCGUCACACCAUGGGAGUUUGUUGCACCAGAAGUAGCUAGCCUAACUGCAAAGAGGGCGGUUACCACGGUGUGGCCGAUGACUGGGGUG